This 819-nucleotide ribosomal RNA is filed under the name uncultured Actinomycetes bacterium. Its description in RNAcentral is "bacterial SSU rRNA". It matches the Rfam family "Bacterial small subunit ribosomal RNA", at positions 335 to 1167 of the family's 1533-position model. Lineage: Bacteria; Bacillati; Actinomycetota; Actinomycetes. The record is from RNAcentral.
ACUCCUACGGGAGGCAGCAGUGGGGAAUAUUGCGCAAUGGGCGAAAGCCUGACGCAGCGACGCCGCGUGAGGGAUGAAGGCCUUCGGGUCGUAAACCUCUUUCAGCAGGGAAGAAGCGAGAGUGACGGUACCUGCAGAAGAAGCACCGGCUAACUACGUGCCAGCAGCCGCGGUAAUACGUAGGGUGCAAGCGUUGUCCGGAAUUAUUGGGCGUAAAGAGCUCGUAGGCGGUCUGUCGCGUCUGCUGUGAAAACUCAGGGCUUAACCCUGAGCUUGCAGUGGGUACGGGCAGACUAGAGUGCGGUAGGGGAGACUGGAAUUCCUGGUGUAGCGGUGAAAUGCGCAGAUAUCAGGAGGAACACCGGUGGCGAAGGCGGGUCUCUGGGCCGUAACUGACGCUGAGGAGCGAAAGCAUGGGGAGCGAACAGGAUUAGAUACCCUGGUAGUCCAUGCCGUAAACGUUGGGCGCUAGGUGUGGGGCUCUUUCCACGAGUUCCGUGCCGCAGCUAACGCAUUAAGCGCCCCGCCUGGGGAGUACGGCCGCAAGGCUAAAACUCAAAGGAAUUGACGGGGGCCCGCACAAGCGGCGGAGCAUGCGGAUUAAUUCGAUGCAACGCGAAGAACCUUACCAAGGCUUGACAUGGGGUGAAAACUCGCAGAGAUGCGGGGUCCGCAAGGGCGCCUCACAGGUGGUGCAUGGUUGUCGUCAGCUCGUGUCGUGAGAUGUUGGGUUAAGUCCCGCAACGAGCGCAACCCUCGUUCUAUGUUGCCAGCACGUGAUGGUGGGGACUCAUAGGAGACUGCCGGGGUCAACUCGGA